AAGCUCGUAGUUGAAUUUCGGGGUUCUACCAUUGGUCGGGCAAUAGUCUGUACUGGUGUGUAGAAUUUCUACCUUCUGGGGAACUAUCAUGUUAUUUAUUUAGCGUGGUAGGAAACCAGGACCUUUACCUUGAAAAAAUUAGAGUGUUCAAAGCAGGCUUACGUCUGAAUGCAUUAGCAUGGAAUAAUAAAAUAGGACGGUGGUCCUGUUUUGUUGGUUUCUGAAUCACCGUAAUGAUUAAUAGGGAUAGUUGGG
RNAcentral lists this ribosomal RNA (255 nucleotides) under uncultured Gigaspora. RNAcentral describes it as "partial 18S ribosomal RNA". It matches the Rfam family "Eukaryotic small subunit ribosomal RNA", at positions 624 to 886 of the family's 1831-position model. Lineage: Eukaryota; Fungi; Glomeromycota; Glomeromycetes; Diversisporales; Gigasporaceae. The record is from RNAcentral.